UACAGAGGUCCCGAGCGUUGUUCGGAUUCACUGGGCGUAAAGGGUGCGUAGGUGGCAUGGGAAGUUUGAUGUGAAAGCUCAGGGCUUAACCCUGAAAUGGCAUUGAAUACUGCUGUGCUGGAGGUUUGGAGGGGGGACUGGAAUUCUUGGUGUAGCAGUGAAAUGCGUAGAUAUCAAGAGGAACACCAGUGGCGAAGGCGAGUCCCUGGACAACACCUGACACUGAGGCACGAAAGCUAGGGGAGCAAACAGG
Molecule: ribosomal RNA, 253 nt
Filed under: uncultured bacterium
Lineage: Bacteria
Description: partial 16S ribosomal RNA
Rfam family: Bacterial small subunit ribosomal RNA
Source: RNAcentral